GGUGAGUAACGCGUAAGAACCUGCCCUUGGGAGGGGAACAACAACUGGAAACGGUUGCUAAUACCCCGUAGGCUGAGGAGCAAAAGGAGAAAUCCGCCCAAGGAGGGGCUCGCGUCUGAUUAGCUAGUUGGUGAGGCAAUAGCUUACCAAGGCGAUGAUCAGUAGCUGGUCCGAGAGGAUGAUCAGCCACACUGGGACUGAGACACGGCCCAGACUCCUACGGGAGGCAGCAGUGGGGAAUUUUCCGCAAUGGGCGAAAGCCUGACGGAGCAAUGCCGCGUGGAGGUGGAAGGCCUACGGGUCGUCAACUUCUUUUCUCGGARAARAAACAAUGACGGUAUCUGAGGAAUAAGCAUCGGCUAACUCUGUGCCAGCAGCCGCGGUAAC
This 387-nucleotide ribosomal RNA is filed under the name uncultured eukaryote. RNAcentral's name for it is "bacterial SSU rRNA". It matches the Rfam family "Bacterial small subunit ribosomal RNA", at positions 105 to 524 of the family's 1533-position model. The record is from RNAcentral.